This 497-nucleotide ribosomal RNA is filed under the name uncultured bacterium. Its description in RNAcentral is "partial 16S ribosomal RNA". It matches the Rfam family "Bacterial small subunit ribosomal RNA", at positions 28 to 507 of the family's 1533-position model. The record is from RNAcentral.
GAUGAACGCUGGCGGCGUGCCUAAUACAUGCAAGUCGAGCGAACAGACGAGGAGCUUGCUCCUCUGACGUUAGCGGCGGACGGGUGAGUAACACGUGGAUAACCUACCUAUAAGACUGGGAUAACUUCGGGAAACCGGAGCUAAUACCGGAUAAUAUAUUGAACCGCAUGGUUCAAUAGUGAAAGACGGUUUUGCUGCCACUUAUAGAUGGAUCCGCGCCGCAUUAGCUAGUUGGUAAGGUAACGGCUUACCAAGGCAACGAUGCGUAGCCGACCUGAGAGGGUGAUCGGCCACACUGGAACUGAGACACGGUCCAGACUCCUACGGGAGGCAGCAGUAGGGAAUCUUCCGCAAUGGGCGAAAGCCUGACGGAGCAACGCCGCGUGAAUGAUGAAGGUCUUCGGAUCGUAAAACUCUGUUAUUAGGGAAGAACAAAUGUGUAAGUAACUAUGCACGUCUUGACGGUACCUAAUCAGAAAGCCACGGCUAACUACGUG